UACAAACACACACCUCAGGUUGCCCUAAUCAACCACACACACACACACACACACAGUGAGACGUUUUCCUGCAUGGCUGCUUGUUCACUCAUUACAGGUGGACUUACGACGACUCUGAGCAGAUUGAAACCCCAUGUCAGCUGCACGCAUGAAGAUGCUUUUCAAACAGAAAUUCCUCCUCUUGCUGAUAUCUGUCAUGCUAGCAUGUCUGUUCAUAAGCGGACUGUUGUUUCUGUACGCCGAGGAUGACACCUCGUUCAUGCGGCGAUUCGAUAGAUCUGUUGAGCCGUUUUUAACUGCAAAAACACAACUUUCAAAGGACGUGUUCGCAUGGUGGGGGAAAUUGCAGUUUGACAGGCGGAACUUCACUUCCUACCAAAGAGCAGUGGACAGCCUGCUGAAGACGUUUCCAUCCAUCUCUAAGGUUGCUGAGGUCAGCCUGACUGACCGCCGCGGGAUUUGCGCGGUGGUGGGCAAUUCUGUUAAUCUGAAGGGCUCUCGUUACGGACGUCUGAUAGAUGCUCAUGAUGUGGUUGUCAGAAUGAACUAUGCUCCUACCAAAGGAUAUGAAGAAGAUGUGGGGACUAAAACGAGCCAUCAUAUCGUGUACCCAGAGAGCGCCCCGGACAUGGAUGACUCCAUUCAUCUUGUGCUGUUACCUUUCAAGAUCCUGGACUUGGAGUGGCUGCAACAGGCCUUCACCACUGGAUUUAAAGGAAUGUCAUACAAACCUGUGAGAUCCACCAUGCGAGCAAACAAGAGUUUGGUGAUGGUGGUCAAUCCGGGCUUCAUUGCCUACGUUAACCGAGCGUGGCUGCGAACGAGCCGCGGGUAUCCCUCCACUGGCUUUUUGGCCGUGAUUCUCGCCCUGCACAUGUGUGACGAGGUCCACGUGUUUGGUUACGGAGCAGAUAGAAAUGGGAACUGGAGUCAUUACUGGGAAAAACUGAAAGAUCCUAACUUUAAAACUGGAUUACAUUAUGGAGAACAUGAGUACCAUGUGCUACAAAAGCUGGCAGAGCUUCAACAACUUAAGUUUUUUAAAGGACGUUUUUGAAAAAAAACUAUUAAAUUUUGUUGCCAUAAUCUUAUAGUACCAAAUGAGUGACUACACGGGAGCAAAAUUCCAUUGUAUCCACUGGCAAUAGCAUACACGCCUGCUUAUUGCUGACGUAUCAACCAAUCAGGAGUGCGGAAGCUCUGAUUGGCCGAGAGCAAAGCAGCUGAUUGACCGAGUCACAAAGUCAAAUGAGCAAAAACAAGAGAAAUAUAAUUAGCGUUAUAUUGUCGUCCCUCGCCAUAUCACACUUCGAUUACCGCCCCCUCACGAUAUUGUGGUUUUCAGAAAUUUGUAAAUAAUCGCUGUUGGUCUGUUAGUGGUAAUGUACUGGUGAUGUAAAGCGAUAUGUAGUAUAAUUCAGGUCAAUAUGCGGCACAAACCGUGGAAACAUUUACUUACAUUACCUUAAUAACGCUGCAUGAAGUCAUAAAGUCAGCCAUGGCAUGUCCAACAUGAAAAAAGUUCUCCUUCCAUGCCAUGUUGGCUUGCUGGCUGGCGGCUAGCAAAAAACGGCUGAUCCGGAUGUUAAUGAGAUCACGUGACAGUUGGUGUUGGCUUGUUUGGUGGAGCUACUUCCUCCAACCAGUACCUUUUAUGCUUUCUGAUCAUUAUAUUAUCAAUUUGACAAAAAUUUAUAUUAUUUAUUAUGUAUUAUCCAAUUUAACUGUUGCUUUUUAUAUUUUCAUUAGUUUCAUUCACAUUUUUGUUAUUAGUCACAUAUCAGUCAACAUUUUAAUUUCAAAAUAAGGGAAAUUUAUUCCUUUUUUAAAAAUCAGUAACAUACCGUAUCCUGAAAUGGCAAAUAUAUGCAACAUUUUAUUUUAUUUCUCAAAUAGUACUGAUAUCCAAAGUGAGAUCUUGUGAAUAAUUUUAUACAUUUGCACAGUAUAUUUUGUAUUUUACUAUACUUUUAUAGGCUAACGGUCUACACAAGUGGACGUUUGUGGAAGAUGUUCUCACUCUCAAUUGGCAAUAUCCAAGCCUGAGGUCCACUUGGAAGGACCAGGCUGGUAGUCAUCAUGGGUGGAAGUCUUUCUGAAUGCCCAGCAAAGGUGUACAUCAGCACAAUGGGAAAACCAUGAAAACUCGAAUAGGCUCCAGGAGACACCCCCACGACCUUAGUGAGGAUGAGCAGCAUAGAAAUUGGAUGCAUGGACACACUGGAAUGCAAAACAGUGCCAUCUGCUGGCCAGAGUUGCCUUUGCUAGUUCUUUUGAUGAUUUUUCAGCAAAGGUGUAAUCCACUAGUCGUCCAUUUUUGUGCCUCAGAGGUACACGUUUGUGCUGGCAGCUCCAUGGUGCAACUAUCUUCAAAACCAGCCCUUGGAAUCACGGAAUGACCUGUAUUAGGAAUAAUCUCAUGCUGGUUGCAUUUCAAAUAUUGAACAUUUAGUCCAUUUCAUAACCGUUAAGAGAUUUAUUUGGAAUAUUUAUGAUAAUUAAAGCUUAAUACAACUUUGCAGGGCUAUGUGAUCCUGUGCACCUUUUUUGUCUUUCUCCACCUUCAUUACUCGGACUGCCACUAAACAAAAGAAACUCAAUGCUGCCACAACCCCUCCUCCUUACACGUCUCUCUUCUCUUUGUUUCGGGACUUAAAUUGGCCAGGAUGAGCAUGGAUGCACCAAUGAGCAGACACUACUCAGGCUUGUCAUGUCUGUUGGCCGGAUGAUACAAAAACAGCAUGCAGAUUUCCAUACAAUUUUGUGGAGAGACGGGUAGCAUUUUCUUACUUCAUACCGGCCCAUGAAGGAAGGGAAAAUCCUCUGAGGGCUCGACAAGGACGGCACGGCAGCGAGCACAGCAGCAGGCCAAAGAUGUCUCCUACUGCAAAAGCGCACAAAAACAGAUGGUCAAAAACAGGAGACAUGAACAUUGAAGUGAACCAGGGAUGCCGUCAAGGAUGAGGCGAUGAUGAUUUCACGGCAUCAAGGAUGAUGGGUAACACACAGGG
Doryrhamphus excisus (bluestripe pipefish) is the source of this 3011-nucleotide non-coding RNA. Lineage: Eukaryota; Metazoa; Chordata; Actinopteri; Syngnathiformes; Syngnathidae. The record is from RefSeq and is a predicted model, not a curated record.